RNAcentral lists this transfer RNA (77 nucleotides) under Spirochaetia bacterium. RNAcentral's name for it is "tRNA-Ile". It matches the Rfam family "tRNA". Rfam says of the family: Transfer RNA (tRNA) molecules are approximately 80 nucleotides in length. Lineage: Bacteria; Pseudomonadati; Spirochaetota; Spirochaetia. The record is from RNAcentral.
UGGGCUAGUAGCUCAGUUGGUUAGAGCACUGCUCUGAUAAGGCAGGGGUCGAUAGUUCAACUCUAUCCUGGCCCAUC